This 68-nucleotide microRNA precursor is filed under the name Aotus nancymaae (Ma's night monkey). RNAcentral's name for it is "miRNA (ENSANAG00000004477.1)". Lineage: Eukaryota; Metazoa; Chordata; Mammalia; Primates; Aotidae. The record is from RNAcentral.
AGUAGAGAUGGGGUUUCACCAUGUUGGUCAGGCUGGUCUCAAACUCCUGACCUCAGGUCAUCCGUCCA